This 466-nucleotide ribosomal RNA is filed under the name uncultured Alphaproteobacteria bacterium. Its description in RNAcentral is "bacterial SSU rRNA". It matches the Rfam family "Bacterial small subunit ribosomal RNA", at positions 9 to 524 of the family's 1533-position model. Lineage: Bacteria; Pseudomonadati; Pseudomonadota; Alphaproteobacteria. The record is from RNAcentral.
GAGUUUGAUCAUGGCUCAGAACGAACGCUGGCGGCAGGCUUAACACAUGCAAGUCGAACGCCCCGCAAGGGGAGUGGCAGACGGGUGAGUAACGCGUGGGAACGUGCCCUUCGCUUCAGGAUAGUCCCGGGAAACUGGGUUUAAUACUGGAUACGCCGUAUUGGGAAAGAUUUAUCGGCGAAGGAUCGGCCCGCGUUAGAUUAGGUAGUUGGCGGUGUAAUGGACCACCAAGCCUACGAUCUAUAGCUGGUCUGAGAGGAUGAUCAGCCACACUGGGACUGAGACACGGCCCAGACUCCUACGGGAGGCAGCAGUGGGGAAUCUUGGACAAUGGGCGCAAGCCUGAUCCAGCCAUGCCGCGUGAGUGAAGAAGGCCUUAGGGUUGUAAAACUCUUUCGCCGGAGAAGAUAAUGACGGUAUCCGGAGAAGAAGCCCCGGCUAACUUCGUGCCAGCCGCCGCUGUAAG